This 499-nucleotide ribosomal RNA is filed under the name uncultured bacterium. RNAcentral's name for it is "partial 16S ribosomal RNA". It matches the Rfam family "Bacterial small subunit ribosomal RNA", at positions 28 to 507 of the family's 1533-position model. The record is from RNAcentral.
GAUGAACGCUGGCGGCGUGCCUAAUACAUGCAAGUCGAGCGAACAGACGAGGGUGUUGGCCCUUUCUGAUGUUAGCGGGGGAGGUGAGUAUAACACGUGUGAACCCUACCUAUAACUCGAGUAUAACCUCGGAACACCGGAUCUUGUAGCGUAUAAUAUUUAGCUUCGCAUGUCUCAAUAGAAAGAGAGUUUUGUUAUGUCUUUUAUAUAGAGACCCGCGGUGUAUUAUCUAGUUGGUGAGGUAACGGUUCACCAAGACAACGAUACAUAGCCGACCUGAGAGGGUGAUCGGCCACACUGGAACUGAGACACGGCCCAGACUCCUACGGGAGGCAGCAGUAGGGAAUCUUCCGCAAUGGGCGAAAGUCUGACGGAGCAACGCCGCGUGAGUGAUGAAGGUUUUCGGAUCGUAAAACUCUGUUAUAAGGGAAGAACAAAUAUGUUAGUAACUGUGCACACCUUGACGGUACCUUACCAGAAAGCCACGGCUAACUACGUG